Molecule: ribosomal RNA, 463 nt
Filed under: uncultured bacterium
Lineage: Bacteria
Description: partial 16S ribosomal RNA
Rfam family: Bacterial small subunit ribosomal RNA
Source: RNAcentral
GACGAACGCUGGCGGCGUGCUUAACACAUGCAAGUCGAGCGGAAAGGCCACUUCGGUGGUACUCGAGCGGCGAACGGGUGAGUAACACGUGAGUAAUCUGCCCCUCACUUUGGGAUAGCCACCGGAAACGGUGAUUAAUACCGGAUAUGACCAUAUGUCGCAUGGCGUGUGGUGGAAAGUUUUUCGGUGAGGGAUGUGCUCGCGGCCUAUCAGCUUGAUGGUGAGGUAAUGGCUCACCAUGGCUUCGACGGGUAGCCGGCCUGAGAGGGUGACCGGUCACACUGGGACUGAGACACGGCCCAGACUCCUACGGGAGGCAACAGUGGGGAAUAUUGGACAAUGGGCGGAAGCCUGAUCCAGCAACGCCGCGUGAGGGAUGACGGCCUUCGGGUUGUAAACCUCUUUCAGUACCGACGAAGCGCAAGUGACGGUAGGUACAGAAGAAGCACCGGCCAACUACGUG